Vespula vulgaris is the source of this 2532-nucleotide long non-coding RNA. RefSeq lists it as uncharacterized. NCBI's taxonomy places the organism in Eukaryota, Metazoa, Arthropoda, Insecta, Hymenoptera, Vespidae. The record is from RefSeq and is a predicted model, not a curated record. The transcript has 2 exons.
CCCAAACUGCGCUGGGAUUGGCCAUCGCUCGGAGACUGCGCGAGUGCGAUCUUACCCUGUGGGUCGUAUUGGUGUGCCUGCUAGCAGCAGAGGGUGGCGAGGAAGCAGGCGACGCAGCAGGCAUUCCAUUGUCCUCGAGUCACGAUCGGCUAUAAAAUGGCAACCGUUGCGACGACACACGGCACACACCACGCUGCCGCUUGGCUCUCGUCCGUUCUCGUCGAAACGGAGAAAGAUACAAAAAGAUUUCCGCGAGAGAGAAGAUAAAACGAAGCCAAAUGUCGGGCGGGCGGGCCUGCGGGGAUUCGAGGAGGAGGAAGAAGAAGAAGAAGAAGAAGAAGAAGAAGAAGAAGAAGAAGAAGAAGAAGAAGAAGAAGAGAAGAAGAAGAAGGAGAGGAGGGGAAGGGGAGGAGGAGGAGAGGGGAGAAGGAGGAGGAGAGAAAAAGGCACUGACGUCGUUGUUCGACCGGUUCAAUCACUAGUGCGCGCACCGGUUCGGUAGCAGCGACGAUUUUAUCGACCCUCGUGCGCGUUUUCACGAGGACGCGUUUUAUUUUUCUCGGAACAAUACGAUGUAGAAUUUUUUGAUACCGCCUCGACUCUCUUUUUCUAUCUUAUUUUCCUCCUCUCUAUAACACGAGAAGCACGCACCAGGAUUAGUUUUGGUCGAAUCGCGCGAUUCUUUUUAUAAUCGGUACGCUUGCUAUCCCUGUCUGUCUGUCUGUCUUUCUCUUUCUCUUUUUCUUUUUCUUUCUCUCUCUUUCUCCUCCCUCAUAUUUUCGAUCCGCAUAAGAUCGGCUCGCGUCCAUCGACGAUGCGUCAAGUAAGCAGCGGCACGACGAUAGCUACGAGUCUAACGAGAUAUAUAUAUAUGUAUUUAUACGACCGAAAUCGUUUGCGUAAAAUUCGUUCUCUCUUGCUUACACAUGUAAAGGAGAAUGAUGACGAAAAAAGUAUAGAGGAAGAAGAUUAAAAUGAAGAAGAUGGACGUAUCUGUGUCUAUCUAUCUAUCUAUCUAUCUAUCUAUCUAUCUAUCUAUCUAUCUAUCUAUCUGUAUAUCUAUAUAUAUACAUAUGUUAUGUAUAUAUAUGUAUGUAUGUAUGCAUCGAUGUACGUAUGAAUAUACUAUGAAUAUAUGUAUGGAUAUAUGUAUGGACGUAUAUAUAGAUGAUGUAUGCACGUAUGUAUGUAUGUAUAUAUAUAUAUGUGUGUGCAACUAUGUGUACGAUUAGACGGGCAAGGAUACCGCGAAAAUCGUCGUCCCGGCGUGAGAAAAGGCGGGACACCGUCGUUGAACUCUCGUAAUAUCGCCGAUAGAAAGAUAAUAAGUGGAUACGUAAAACGAGAAUAGAGCGUCCUGCACUUGGGUGGUGUCCUCGGACGCGCAGAGAGCGAGAGAGCGGAACGAUUUUCCCCGAAGCCGAACCCGGGAGUGACUAAAAUCGAAAUCGGUGGACGAACACAGGGGCGCGUCGGGGCGCGCAUGUGCGACGGCGCCGCCGGUCGUCGACGCAUAUUAUCCGUCCGCGUCCCGUGUGUCGCCUCGCGCUCUCUUGUGUGUGCCAGCCUGCCUGCCUGCCUGCCUGCCUAGCUAGCUACCUAACUUGAUUCCUUCUUCGCUAGCUAGCCUGUGUUUUCUGCUGCCUACUAGGUUGCCUCCUGUCGCGCGUCUCUUGAGUGCGCGCUCACCUACUAACCGAGCUGAUCGCCUCGUCUAUCAUCGGCCAAUCGCAAGUACCGAGUCGAGUCGAGCCGAACCGAGCCGAACCGAAUCGAACCGAAUCGAACCGAACCGAACCGAACACGACCGAGCGAAGUCGACUGGAGCCGAAUCUGCCAGCCGGCCGGCGUUCCUUCGGUACUUCGCGCGCCAAUUCUCAUAUUCCAACGUCGUAUCUUCUCAUCGAUCGCCUACCGACCCUCUGUCUUUUCGUUAGACCCUUGCUUCCUCUUAAACCCUCUCCCACCAUUCCUAUCCUUUCUCUUCUCCCUCCAACUAUCUCUUCUCGCCCUUUAUUCUUCGCCCCUCCGCUCCCCAUCAAAAGCAUGCCUUCUAAAGAUCGAGCAGGUUACUUUUGUGGGGGACGCCAUCUUUUGCAAACGACGACGAACGAUUCUUUCGUACUACGUCCACGCGUCUUACGUGGCGCGUAAACUUGAAAAAUGUUCGAAUACGAUUCUAUCGUGGGAUUGUUCGUUACUGUACGAUAGAUGAUUGACAAAAUUCGAAAUAGGGAAUGUCUUUGUAUAUAUUCCUGUUGAAUAAUAUCGAGUAAUAUCAGAAUACUUACUUUUUCGUAUAGCUGUACGCUUCUCCCAUCGCUGACGAUCGUCAUGGUUUUUACAUUUAUCGACUUCGUCUGUUCUUCUUCUAGAUAAGAUUGCGACGGAUUCCGUCCCAUCGAAUGGUUGAUGAAUGUUUCCUCUUUCUUCAGACGACACUUUCAAGAACAUUAUCUUAUGAAUAAUAGUAUAUCCAUACAGACAGGAACACUUACGAACUUAAUAUAUCUAAUGAUUAAACGAAAUAAA